This 616-nucleotide long non-coding RNA is filed under the name Eptatretus burgeri (inshore hagfish). RNAcentral's name for it is "lncRNA (ENSEBUG00000017345.1)". The record is from RNAcentral. Lineage: Eukaryota; Metazoa; Chordata; Myxini; Myxiniformes; Myxinidae.
GCGCGGGUGGGGGCGCGGGGUUGAAUGCGCCAUGUUGUGCAGCGGUAAAAUUAUCCAGAAUGGAGCCAUUUAAACCUCCGGAUCCCCCUGUGUCUUGAAGGGAAUAUAACGGAAAACUGGAAACGCUGCGAACAACGAUUCAAGUUGUACUUGAAGGCCACGGGGGCCGACGGCAAGACGGAACAUGUCAAAGUGGCGAUUCUCCUCUCAUCGUGUUGGGGAGGACGGAUUGGAAGUGUUUUACCCCUUUGAUUCUGGUGACGGAUCGACCACAAUACGUCAGUAUCGAACUCUCUGUUUCGUGCAACAUUACCGGGAUAUCUCAAAAAGAUAAUAUUAAUAAACCAAGAUGGCAGACACCAGUCCUUUUUCACUGGAAGAGAGGCUGGCAGCAAUGGUGUGGUACCACGAGAGGAGAAACACGGAUGCACUCGGUUUAAGGAGAGACCAAAUCAGCUACACAGGUUUGACGAAGCGUCAGGACGACAUGGAAGGCAGCCACCAUCGAGAAAAACGAUUCGACAAGGUGAUCGGCAAGAUGGGAUGGACUGGAGGUUCCAAGGCGGCUCAGGUGACGUACCUGAGGUGCUGCGUCCAAUUAGGUGGCGCUUUAUAA